GAAGGUACAGCUCAAGUGGUAGAGUGCAUGCUCAGCAUGCACAAGGGCCAGGGUUCAAUUCCCAGUACCCUCU
RNAcentral lists this transfer RNA (73 nucleotides) under Camelus ferus (Wild Bactrian camel). It matches the Rfam family "tRNA". From Rfam's summary of the family: Transfer RNA (tRNA) molecules are approximately 80 nucleotides in length. The record is from Rfam by way of RNAcentral. Lineage: Eukaryota; Metazoa; Chordata; Mammalia; Artiodactyla; Camelidae.